RNAcentral lists this ribosomal RNA (498 nucleotides) under uncultured bacterium. RNAcentral's name for it is "partial 16S ribosomal RNA". It matches the Rfam family "Bacterial small subunit ribosomal RNA", at positions 28 to 523 of the family's 1533-position model. The record is from RNAcentral.
GAUGAACGCUAGCGGCAGGCCUAAUACAUGCAAGUCGAGGGAGAAUGUUGGAUUCGUCUGACAUGAAACCGGCGCACGGGUGCGUAACACGUAUGCAACCUACCUUUAACUGGGGUAUAGCUCAGAGAAAUCUGAAUUAAUCCCCCAUAAGACUACGACAUGGCAUCAUGAUGUAGUUAAAGCUCCGGCGGUUAAGGAUGGGCAUGCGGUACAUUAGCUAGUUGGUGAGGUAAUGGCUCACCAAGGCUACGAUGUAUAGGGGGUCUGAGAGGAUGAUCCCCCACACUGGUACUGAGACACGGACCAGACUCCUACGGGAGGCAGCAGUAGGGAAUAUUGGUCAAUGGACGCAGGUCUGAACCAGCCAUGCCGCGUGAAGGAUGAAGGCCCUAUGGGUCGUAAACUUCUUUUAUUAGGGAAGAAAAAACGGGAUGCGUCCUGUACUGACGGUACUUAAUGAAUAAGGAUCGGCUAACUUCGUGCCAGCCGCCGCCGUAA